This is an RNA transcript of Tachysurus fulvidraco (yellow catfish), 2395 nucleotides long. It is a transcript of the gene named lysosomal associated membrane protein family member 5, with no coding region annotated. The record is from RefSeq and is a predicted model, not a curated record. NCBI's taxonomy places the organism in Eukaryota, Metazoa, Chordata, Actinopteri, Siluriformes, Bagridae. The transcript has 2 exons.
UUUCUUUCCUCUGGCCUGGUGCUCGGUUCAAUCUCCUCCAUUCAGAACAAAACGCCAUGCUGAAGCUAUCCGAUAAGUCGGACUCAAAAACCGACACCAAAUUCCUUCUGGAUGCCAUCUCGAAAGACAAAAUGCACCUAGCUAGGUUCAUCCUGGACGCACUGGACGGUAAGAUCGUGGACUCGAAAAGCGACGACGAGCUCACGCCGCUUAUCUCGUCUGUGUUUUUGCCGGACUCGCGCGCCAGAGCCAAGUUCAUGAACCUGCUGUUACAGAGAGGCGCUAACGUAAACCAGCAGGACGAGUGUGGGCGCACGGCGCUUAGUUACGCGUGUGAGAAAGGCUACCUGGACGCCGUAAAGAUGCUGGUGAAGAACAACGCCGAUCCGGAGAUUGUGGACGCGUGGGGAAACACUGCGCUCAUGUACGCCGCGGUCGCUGACCAUUCACUGGUCGUUGAAUUUCUGGUGAAGGCCUUCAAACGGCUUGGGCUCCAAAUCGACCGCCAAAACAAAGUAGGUAACUCAGCAGUGGAGGUAGCAAAGUACUUGGGCCACACCGAUUGUUUAUCCGCGUUAAUGAGCAACUCCAAAAAGGACGCAUUAGAUGAAAGAUUUGCACUUUUGUGUGCCAACGAGGGAGAGGACACAAACUCCGAAAAGGAACAACCAUCUGAAGUUUCAGACACGCACCAGAGCAAAAGCUCGAGCCGGAGGAAAUGCCCUAAUUUAUGGAACAGAAUGAUGUCCAUGGACUCUAUCGAGGAGUUAGAGAUUGAAAGUGAGUCUGAGAAGGAUAGAUGGCCAGUAUCUCCACAAGGCUGUGCUUUUUCAGGUGUGCUCACACCGAGACCGCCUCAGAGAUCCCGCGUUUCGCAAACUUUAAAGCAAGUAGCUGAAAGCUGCCUGAACAACCAUCUCCCACCAUUAUCCAGAGGGACAGAGCAUCACAGCCCAGCUUCAACCAGGACGUCCAAAAUCCACGCGCACACCGCCGGAGCUCUAUCCGGUCCGCUCGGUAUCUUGCUCACGCCUAUAAAAAAAGCCAACAGAUCGGACUCGGACAAAGCGGACGUCACUGCGAUGAGGUUUGAUGACAGUUAUUACCGGAAACGGUGCAGUUUGCCCACCAGCGCUCUUGGACCAACACCGCUUGAGCGGCAUCUGCUGAAAUCUGCACGGAAAAGUAAACCUACUCCUAGGAGGGGCGUCAGUUCGUCGCCUCAUGUCGAUUCUGUAGACUUUUCCGCCACUGCGUUUUCUGUCCUGGGCAACAGGUUGCUGAGGCGCUUUACUUUGCCUGAGUUAAAAAAGCCUGGAAAAGAAGUGAGGGAAGGUUGUGGCGCGCACGGUGGAAGCUGUGAAACGGUAGCACGUGGCAUGCCGAGGUCCGAAACCUUCCCGCUGUGCACCAACCACCCGCAAGUAGGAAGUAAGCCGAGUAUAGACAGCAUAAGCGCAGUGAAGUGCGAGUUUGACUUUCAGCUUAAAGCCAACUUUUAACCGCGCUGCUGCGUUUGCAAGGGGUCACGUGAGACGUCAGCGGACGAAUCAGUUAAUGUCGAGGAUCUGCGUUGUGUCACGCCGACGUGUACAUGGAUGUUUUUUAGGCUUUAUGCUUGAAGCAUGUUAGAAACUGUUCUCAUUAACAAUAUUUGUAUUGUCUAUAUGUCUUGUUAAGACUCAGUAAGUAAAUAGAAAAAAAACAACAUAGUAGUGUUUUAUUUGUAUCCUCUAAUGUAUGACUUGUUAUUCAAAUUCCGCAUUAUUCUUUUGGGCUACAGUAUGACGUGAAAUUAUACUAACAUUUCACUACAUUCUCGAGUUGAACCCAAUAGAGAAAUUCCAUUGGGAAUAUGUAAGAGUGCAUGACCGUAUGAACAAAUUCGCAGCUUUGUCCUCUUUCAGCUGAGUUCCCAUAUCUACAACCCUGCGUAUAGCGCACACACACACACACACACACACACACACACACACACACACACACACACACACACACACACACACACACACACACACACACACACACACACACACACACACAGAGGCACAGGACAGCAGCUGCAAUGUUGGAGGGAGUGAGGAGGGAGGGUAGAGGAAAGGAAGGGUGCAGCGAUUUCCCCCAGCUCUCCAGCUGAGAACCCAGAUAUGGAAAUCACAGCAUUGCGGGAGUAAAGUAUCUUCGUUGUUAGUGAGGCUCGAAUAGAGUACCCCUCAUUAAGCGAGUUCGUGCGCGCAGUGACCGGAUGCUACCUCACUCAGGAGACACCCGGAUUUUGCUGCAUCCGCAAUGAUCUGAGUGUUACUCCGGAAAGUCGUGCAGCGUGUCCGUGGUGCAUUUUCCACCCCAAACCUUCAGGUCUUACUGUCUCAGAGACUGCACGUGCGUCAGUAUG